Molecule: ribosomal RNA, 503 nt
Filed under: uncultured Sphingobacterium sp.
Lineage: Bacteria; Pseudomonadati; Bacteroidota; Sphingobacteriia; Sphingobacteriales; Sphingobacteriaceae
Description: bacterial SSU rRNA
Rfam family: Bacterial small subunit ribosomal RNA
Source: RNAcentral
GAGUUUGAUCGUGGCUCAGGAUGAACGCUAGCGGCAGGCUUAACACAUGCAAGUCGAGGGGCAGCACGGGUAGCAAUACCUGGUGGCGACCGGCAAACGGGUGCGGAACACGUAUGCAAUCUGCCUUUAACCGGGGGAGUAGCCUUCCGAAAGGAAGAUUAAUACCGCAUAACACAGCAGAGCGGCAUCGCUUCACUGUUAAAGCUUCGGUGGUUAAAGAUGAGCAUGCGAGUCAUUAGCUAGUUGGUGAGGUAACGGCUCACCAAGGCGACGAUGACCAGGGGAGUCUGAGAGGAUGGUCCCCCACCACUGGUACUGAGACACGGACCCAGACUCCUACGGGAGGGCAGCAGUAAGGAAUAUUGGUCAAUGGACGAAAGUCUGAACCAGCCAUGCCGCGUGCAGGAAGACGGCCCUACGGGUUGUAAACUGCUUUUGUCAGGGAAUAAAUCAUCCUACGUGUAGAAUGUUGAAGGUACCUGAAGAAUAAGGAUCGGCUAACU